GAGUGGCGAACGGGUGAGUAACACGUGGGUAACCUGCCCAUCAGAAGGGGAUAACACUUGGAAACAGGUGCUAAUACCGUAUAACACUAUUUUCCGCAUGGAAGAAAGUUGAAAGGCGCUUUUGCGUCACUGAUGGAUGGACCCGCGGUGCAUUAGCUAGUUGGUGAGGUAACGGCUCACCAAGGCCACGAUGCAUAGCCGACCUGAGAGGGUGAUCGGCCACACUGGGACUGAGACACGGCCCAGACUCCUACGGGAGGCAGCAGUAGGGAAUCUUCGGCAAUGGACGAAAGUCUGACCGAGCAACGCCGCGUGAGUGAAGAAGGUUUUCGGAUCGUAAAACUCUGUUGUUAGAGAAGAACAAGGAUGAGAGUAAAAUGUUCAUCCCUUGACGGUAUCUAACCAGAAAGCCACGGCUAACUACGUGCCAGCAGCCGCGGUAAUACGUAGGUGGCAAGCGUUGUCCGGAUUUAUUGGGCGUAAAGCGAGCGCAGGCGGUUUCUUAAGUCUGAUGUGAAAGCCCCCGGCUCAACCGGGGAGGGUCAUUGGAAACUGGGAGACUUGAGUGCAGAAGAGGAGAGUGGAAUUCCAUGUGUAGCGGUGAAAUGCGUAGAUAUAUGGAGGAACACCAGUGGCGAAGGCGGCUCUCUGGUCUGUAACUGACGCUGAGGCUCGAAAGCGUGGGGAGCGAACAGGAUUAGAUACCCUGGUAGUCCACGCCGUAAACGAUGAGUGCUAAGUGUUGGAGGGUUCCCGCCCUUCAGU
RNAcentral lists this ribosomal RNA (765 nucleotides) under uncultured bacterium. Its description in RNAcentral is "bacterial SSU rRNA". It matches the Rfam family "Bacterial small subunit ribosomal RNA", at positions 93 to 844 of the family's 1533-position model. The record is from RNAcentral.